GGCAGCAGCUAAGAAUAUUCCGCAAUGGACGAAAGUCUGACGGAGCGACGCCGCGUGGAUGAAGAAGGCCGGAAGGUUGUAAAAUCCUUUUAAACGGGAAGAAUAAGUCCUGCAGGGAAUGGCAGGGCGGUGACGGUACCGUUUGAAUAAGCAACGGCUAAUUACGUGCCAGCAGCCGCGGUAACACGUAAGUUGCGAGCGUUGUUCGGAAUUAUUGGGCGUAAAGGGUAUGUAGGCGGUUCUGAAAGCUUGGUGUGAAAGGCAGGGGCUCAACCCCUGGACUGCAUUGAGAACUGCAGGACUAGAAUUACUGAAGGGCAGCCAGAAUUCCAUGUGUAGGGGUGAAAUCUGUAGAUAUGUGGAAGAAUACCAAUGGCGAAGGCAGGCUGCUGGCAGAUGAUUGACGCUGAGGUACGAAAGUGCGGGGAGCAAACAGGAUUAGAUACCCUGGUAGUCCGCACAGUAAACGAUGUGCACUAGGUGUAGGUGCUGAAGCAUCUGUGCCGGAGCGAACGUGAUAAGUGCACCGCCUGGGGAGUAUGCCCGCAAGGGUGAAACUCAAAGGAAUUGACGG
RNAcentral lists this ribosomal RNA (574 nucleotides) under uncultured rumen bacterium. RNAcentral describes it as "bacterial SSU rRNA". It matches the Rfam family "Bacterial small subunit ribosomal RNA", at positions 347 to 916 of the family's 1533-position model. The record is from RNAcentral.